This is a long non-coding RNA of Micropterus dolomieu (smallmouth bass), 261 nucleotides long. RefSeq lists it as uncharacterized. The record is from RefSeq and is a predicted model, not a curated record. NCBI's taxonomy places the organism in Eukaryota, Metazoa, Chordata, Actinopteri, Centrarchiformes, Centrarchidae. The transcript is spliced from 3 exons.
AUAUUCGCGCAGAAGUCCGCCUGCGUCCUCCGACUAAGUUCAAAUCCACGAGGGAUACGGCUGAGCCUAAAACACAAAGACAACACAGCGACCCAGAGAGGCUCAGACAUAAGCUACUGUCCUUGGGUCGUGGGCCAGGUCAAAUACAAGAUGGAACAAAGAAAGAGAAAAGCUCCAUCUCCCUUCUCUGCUGGUUCUGAUGCAGGAAGUUGUGAAAUGACAGCAUGUACAAAGUCAUGGACCACAGAGCCACAAAGCAAG